Molecule: long non-coding RNA, 192 nt
Organism: Chelonia mydas (Green sea turtle)
Lineage: Eukaryota; Metazoa; Chordata; Testudines; Cheloniidae
Exons: 3
Source: RefSeq, a predicted model, not a curated record
UUAAACUGUUUGUUCAGUCAUUCUUGCACUUUACAGCUGGAAUUCUGGGAACUCAAAAAUAACAUCUUUGCCAGUGAGCUUCUUGUAGACACCCGAAAAUGUUUCCACCUUGUGUUCAACAUUAUUUUGUUCUGCUUUGUCCAAAUGGACCUUUAUGAAUCUGCUGCUGUCUAGUUUCAGACCGGAAGAGCA